GGAGAGGUGGCAGAGUGGUCGAAUGCACCGGUUUCGAAAACCGGCAGGGUCGAAAGAUCCUCGGGAGUUCGAAUCUCCCCCUCUCCG
RNAcentral lists this transfer RNA (87 nucleotides) under Candidatus Parcubacteria bacterium. RNAcentral's name for it is "tRNA-Ser". It matches the Rfam family "tRNA". Rfam says of the family: Transfer RNA (tRNA) molecules are approximately 80 nucleotides in length. Their secondary structure includes four short double-helical elements and three loops (D, anti-codon, and T loops). Further hydrogen bonds mediate the characteristic L-shaped molecular structure. tRNAs have two regions of fundamental functional importance: the anti-codon, which is responsible for specific mRNA codon recognition, and the 3' end, to which the tRNAs corresponding amino acid is attached (by aminoacyl-tRNA synthetases). tRNAs cope with the degeneracy of the genetic code in two manners: having more than one tRNA (with a specific anti-codon) for a particular amino acid; and 'wobble' base-pairing, i.e. permitting non-standard base-pairing at the 3rd anti-codon position. Lineage: Bacteria; Candidatus Parcubacteria. The record is from RNAcentral.